Molecule: long non-coding RNA, 8788 nt
Filed under: Setaria viridis
Lineage: Eukaryota; Viridiplantae; Streptophyta; Magnoliopsida; Poales; Poaceae
Description: long non-coding RNA (SVIR_LNC008848)
Source: RNAcentral
UUUUUAUUGAUCUCUCCAAUUAAGAGAGGGAGGAUGUUUGGGUGGAGGCUAGAUGCACUUUUGUAAGCACAUUACUUGUCUCAAUUUUUCAUAUUAGUGAAUUAAUCUAUGUGCUUGUGCGUCAUGUUGUGCUGAGGUUAAGAUUGAUUUGAUCCAUCUAAAAUCAUGCUAGGGCAUCUUAUUAGAGCUUAAUCUAUUCUCGUCAUUGUCUGAUACAGUCUGCUUGUUCCUUUAAUAUCUCAAGAUCCGAAAGUCCGAUUGACAUGAUUCCAGUUGGGUUAGUUGCAUAAUUUUGUAUAGAUUUUUCUGUCAAAUUUUUAGGUUGAUCGGUCUUACGGAUUUUCGUCCAUAUCCUUUUUAUUAAGGAAACAGUAUUCUGUCCAGAUUUGAAAAACGUGAUUUAAUUAGGUUUUGAGAGGAAGGAGAAGUGUUAAACUUUAUUUUUUGAACUUGCGCCCAUUCACCCCCCUCUCUGGUCGCCGUUUCGGUCCUUCAAUUGGUACCAGAGCCAGUUAAGGUUUUCUAUAUCUUAAUCGGUUACGAAAACCAUGGCGACCUCCGGAAAAUUCGAUACACGCGCUCCGCAUUUUGAUGGUACUGAUUAUGACUAUUGGCAGUCACGUAUGAAAGCUUAUUUGAAGGGGAAGGGGAUGAAUCUGUGGAGGAUCACACAAAACUCUACAUAUGUGAUUCCUGCAGAGGACCCUACUGAUCCUGCUGCUGUUGCUCUUCUUGAAGCAAAUAAUCGGGUUGUUGACAUUUUGCAAGCUUCUCUUUGUAAACCCGAGUAUGAUCGUAUUUCCAGUGAGGAGCUAGCUUUUCAGAUCUGGGAUAAAUUAAAGAAAUAUCAUGAAGGCUCCAACGCUAUAAAAACACGAAAAUUUGAAAUUUAUAGAAAAGAAUUUGAUGCUUUUUCUCAGUUGCCUGGUGAAUCUAUUGAAGAUCUUUUUGCAAGGUUUCAAGUGAUUGUAAACAAAAUGAAAGCCCUUAAUAAGGAUAUGCCUUACAAUGAUCAUGCAAGGGCUCUCAGAUUGUUGCAUUCACUUACUGAUGAGUGGGAUAUGAAGGUAGAGGCAAUCGUUGAGUCCGCUGGCUAUGAGACUCUUACCACUGACGAGCUUUUCAGUAAGCUUAAGUCAAAAGAGAUUGAUGUCCUCUCCAAGCGCAAAUUGAAAAAUCCCACUAGCGCUUCUUCUUCUGAUGUUCCUAUGGCUUUGGUUUCUAGGAGUAAAACUAACGCUAACACUAAUCCAGUUCCUCCAAGCUCUUCCUUGUCUUCUUUGUGUCAUGUUGCAGAUGAUGAGUUGGAGACGCUAGAUGAUGAUCAGUUGGUGCUGCUCUCCAACAAAUUCAAGCGAGUCUAUGAGAACCGACGCAACAGAAGACGCUCAGAAGGAUGUUUCAGCUAUGGUGAGCGAGGCCACUUUGCAGCUUAUUGCCCGAACAAGAGAACAUUUGAUCAGGGCAACAACUCCAGGCGCUAGGAACAACCAAGGGAGAAGAAUAAGAAGGGUGACAGGCGCAUGAAGAAGAAUGGCCAGAAGUACACUGAUAAGCAAAUUAAAAGGGCUGCACAUGUUUUGUUUUCUUCUCUUGGUGAUUUUGUUUCAGAUGCUUCUUCGAACUCAAGUGAUUCAGACUCCGAGAAUGAGCUGCCCAAAAAGAAAACUGACGGACUCUGCUUCCUCGCCGACAUCAAGGGAGGGAUGUGCACCAUGGCCUUAGAAGAUGAUGAAGCUUCUAAUCUCAGCGACAACUCUUCUGACAAUGAGGUACAAAAUUUAGCAGAAGAAGAAAUUAAAGAAUUGACAAAAAUUAUUGAUAAACAAAACAAGAUUUUAGCAAAACUUAAGGCUGAGUAUGAUAGAGUCAUCUCUGAAUUAAAAGACUUAAAAGAUGCUACUCCUGCUGAAGUAGAAUGUGAAGAGUGCUCUGUGCAUAUGGUUUCACUUUCUGAAUUGCAAUCUAAGCAUGCCUUCAUUGUUGACAAAUUUGAAAAUGCUAAGAUUGAGUUAGAAAAACUUCACUCUGGUUCGGCUUCACUUGGCGCUUGUGCUUCUUGUCCAACCUUGAAAUCUGAAUUGAAUAAUGCUAAAUCUCGUGUUAUUGAGUUGGAGAAACACUCUUGUCCUGCUUUGCCUUCCUGUUUAACUUGCCCUACUUUUGUUGCUGAAAAUAAUGAUUUGAGGGUGAAGUUUUCUGCUUUGGAAGAAGAAAAUAAACAUUUGAGAGUGAUUCUUGGUUGGUGCUCUAUUCGUGAACCUCAGAUUGGUAUGUCAAUUGCUCAAAUUAAACGGAGUGAGCGUUUUGGACCUGGAUAUGAUUUGAAACAUGUUUUUGGUGAAAAGAGUGGACCUCCUAUUUCUGAAAAGAAUCCACCUUUGGCUAAGUACACUGGACCACCUCCUAGGAAAGAGGGUCCAUGUGUCACAUCUGAGGGGUUGUUAGUUGAACCAUCCAGAUCUGUUCCAAAAAAGCAGGUUUGGGUGCCUAAACCUAAACACUUCAAUGUUGCACAGAACGCUAAGCCAUCUACUUCGCCAUGUGUUCACACUGCUAGACCUACGCAUAACUUUGUUGCUUCUGGUUCUAAGGCUAAGGCUUCUUUUGCUCCUUCACAUAAGCAUUACCAUUGUGAUUUUUGUGAUCGUGAUGGUCAUCUCUAUGGGUUUUGCUUCCGUCGGAAGCGUGCUGAGAGACGUGAGCAGUACUCUGCACGUGGUACUCAUGAUCGUCCUAUUUUGGGUCGUGAACCUGCUAGUUGGUCUUUUGGUUUUCGCCCACAUACUCGUGCUCCUGCCCCACGUCGGAAUGACAGGCCAUGUUUUCCCCCUCGUGGUUCUCGUCAUUCUUUCGAGAGGUUUGAUUUUGCUAAUGCCUCUUUUGAGCAAGUGGCCCAACACUGGUUUUCUCUGCAUUAUCCUAACCCCAGUGUUGAGUCAUUAGCUCACUCUUGUGUUCGCCAUGGACUGCAGGAUGGAGGCGAGGAGAACAUAUGGAUAAUGGAUUCCGGUUGUUCGCGCCACAUGACCGGAGAUGACAAAUGGUUCUCCACCCUCACCCCCGCGAGCGGUAAGGAAUAUAUUACAUUCGGGGAUAAUAGUAAAGGUAAGGUUUUGGCGCAUGGCUGCAUCAAGGUAACUGAUAAAUUCAUACUAAAGGAUGUCGCGAAAGUACAAAAUUUGCACUAUAAUCUGCUUUCUGUCUCACAACUUCUUGAAGAUGAUUUUGAAGUGCGUUUUAAGAAAGGCAAUUCGCGAGUUCUUGAUUCUACUGGCAACCUUGUUUGCAAGAUUUCUCCCUUUGGAUGAGUUUUUAAGGUUGAUUUUUCUAAAUCUUUUGGACAGACUCGUUGUUUGGUUGCUCGUGGUUUCCCUGAUAUUUGGAAGUGGCAUCGUCGGUUGGGCCACUUGAGCUUUGAUUUGCUUUGUCGCUUGAGUUCGAUGGAUUUAAUUGAUGGUUUGCCAAAACUCAAGUUUGAAAAAGAUUUAAUUUGUGCUCCUUGCAAACAUGGAAAAAUGGUUGCUGCUUCCCAUGCACCUGUGACGCAGGUGAUGACGAGAUGACCGGGUGAACUGUUACAUAUGGACAUUGUUGGUCCAGCCCGUGUUCGGUCUGCUGGUGGGAAGUGGUAUGUGCUCGUUGUUGUGGAUGAUUUUUCUCGAUACUCAUGGGUGUUCUUUCUGGAAUCUAAGGAUGACGCCUUUUCACAUGUUCAUGAUCUUGUUCUGAAGCUGAAAAAUGAGUUGUCAAAUAAUGCCGUUAGAGCAAUUCGCAGUGACAAUGGUACGGAAUUCAAGAACUCUCGUAUGAAAGCUUUUUGCGCAGAACAUGGUCUUGAUCAUCAAUUUUCUUCUCCUUAUGUUCCUCCUCAGAAUGGUGUUGUUGAAAGGAAAAAUCGCACGCUUGUUGAAAUGGCUAGGACAAUGCUAGAUGAACAUAAAACCCCUAGACGUUUCUGGGCUGAGGCAAUCAACACCGCUUGCUAUGUUGCUAAUAGAAUUUUUCUGAGAGCUUUCCUGAAGAAAACAUCAUAUGAGUUGAGAUUUGGACGUCCUCCCAAAGUUUCCCACUUUCGAGUGUUUGGUUGCAAGUGCUUUAUUCUAAAAAAGGGAAACUUGGAUAAGUUUGAGUCUCGUUCUUCUGAUGGGUUAUUUCUGGGGUAUGCUUUGCAAGGGCGUGCUUACCGUGUGCUUAAUAUUGACACUAACCGCAUCGAGGAGACAUGUGAGGUCACCUUCGACGAGAAAAUGCCUUGUUUUUCUUUUGCUUUUGAAUGUGCAGGUGAUAAUGAGAUCGGGCAGGAUAUUUUUGAGGAUGAGCAAGAGGAAGAUGGAUACAACAAUGACGACGACGAUGACGCCCCGCCUGUGAUGCAGGGGGAGCCUGGCGCGCAGCUCGAGUAGGCACCCUCCACCACUUUGGACGAUGGACCAUUGCCUACACGUACAUCUACAGCAGCGCCUGCAGCUUCACCGAUUUUUGAUCAGGUACCGGCUGCAAUUGAAGGAGAGGCGAUUUCAGAACGUACAGCACCACGCCACAUUCAGAAUCGCCACCCUCCUGAAAAAAUGAUAGGUAACUUGAAUGAGCGAACGACACGGAACAGAGGUAUGAAAAACAAAAAUUAUUGUGUUUUUGCUCAUACUGCUUUUGUUGCCUCUUUUAAACCCCGAGAUGUUGGACAUGCUUUAUCUGAUUCUAACUGGGUCAAUGCCAUGCAUGAGGAGUUAGAAAAUUUUGAACGAAAUCAAGUUUGGGUUUUGGUUGAUCCUCCUCCUUCUUGUAAACCAAUUGGGACUAAAUGGGUUUUUAAGAACAAACAAGGAGAAGAUGGUCAUGUUGUCAGGAACAAAGCCAGAUUAGUGGCUCAGGGGUUUUGUCAAAAGGAGGGUAUUGAUUAUGGUGAAACUUUUGCUCCUGUUGCUCGUUUAGAAGCCAUUCGUAUCUUGCUUGCAUUGGCUGCUUCACAUGGUUACAAGCUUUAUCAAAUGGAUGUAAAAAGUGCUUUUCUGAAUGGUUUUAUAGAAGAAGAAGUUUAUGUCAAACAACCGCCUGGUUUUGAACACCCCAAUUUUCCUGAUCGUGUUUUUAAGUUGCAAAAGGCUUUAUAUGGUUUGAAGCAAGCACCUCGUGCUUGGUAUGCUAGAUUGAAAACUUUUCUACUUAAAAACGGAUUCAAAAUGGGUUCAGUUGAUAAAACUCUUUUUCUCCUCAGGCAAGGCAAUGACACUUUAAUAGUUCAGAUUUAUGUGGAUGAUAUCAUUUUCGGUGGUUCCUCUCAUGUUCUUGUGAAAAAGUUUGCAGAUGUGAUGAGCAAAGAAUUUGAGAUGUCUAUGAUGGGCGAGCUGAAAUUCUUUCUUGGCUUACAAAUUAAACAAACUUCGGAAGGAACAUUUGUACAUCAGGGAAAGUACACGAAGGAUGUCCUGCAGAAGUUUGCGAUGGAUGAUGCAAAGCCAAUUUCUACACCCAUGCCAACUAGCGCGGCUUUGGAUGCUGAUGAGAACGGAGAGCCCGUGGAUCAGAAGGAUUAUCGAAGCAUGAUCGGGUCACUGCUGUACUUGACUGCAACAAGGCCGGAUAUACACUUUGCUGUGUGUAUGUGUGCUCGUUUUCAAGCGUCCCCCAGGAUUUCUCAUCGUCAGGCGGUGAAGCGCAUCAUGAGGUAUCUUCGAUUUACUCCUGAAUUUGGCCUUUGGUACUCUGCUGCUUCGACUCUCAGUUUGUGUGGUUAUUCGGAUGCUGAUUUUGCUGGGUGUCGUUUGGAUAGAAAGUCUACUUCGGGUACUUGCCAAUUUUUGGGUUCUUCGCUUGUUUCUUGGUCCUCCAGAAAACAAUCCAAUGUUGCUCAAUCUACUACAGAGGCCGAGUAUGUUGCUGCUGCUAGUUGUUGUUCUCAGCUUUUAUGGAUGAUAGCUACCCUUCGCGAUUUUGGUUUGUCGUUUUCUCGCGUUCCUCUCUUGUGUGACAGCACUAGUGCUAUAAGUGUUGCAAAGAAUCCUGUGCUUCAUUCUAAGACGAAACAUAUUGAGGUUCGUCAUCAUUUUCUGAGGGAUCAUGUUGAGAAGGGUGAUAUUGAGCUUAAAUACAUUGAUACUAGUCAGCAACUUGCUGAUAUUCUGACUAAACCACUCGAUCAAACCACGUUUGCACGUUUGCGUGGUGAGUUCGGGGUGUGUUACCCAUUUUGGUAUCAUUAUGAGUUGCUUCGGUUACAUAUGCUUUAUACUUGUUUUGGCUAGUUUGCGACCGAUGCUUUUGGAGAGGUUUAAAUGCUUUGCUUGACCAGUUUUUUUGAAAACAACAUAUAUAUAUAUAUAUACUUCAAAAAUUAUGUUGGGCUCUACUUGCUUUUUUGGAUUUAGUGACUUGUUGAAUACUAGACAUAUGUAAGCUUCUUUUAAUGAUUUUUCACUGCAAAUGUAACUCACAAUGCAAGUUUUAAACUCGGAAGUGCAUACCAUGGUUGUGAGCAAAAACUCUGAAUUCCCAUAUCUCUGCUAUUUCGCUCAUGAUCUGCUUGCUUUACUGAGAAUUUACAUAUGGGCAUAACUCUGAUUUUCCCAUGUCUCUGCUGGUUCUCGCUCAUAAGCAAAAUUAAACAACCUGGCUGAGCACAAUUCUUGCUUCCCAUAUCCCUGCUUGUCAUGCUCAUAAAAGCCAGAAUUAAAUAUGACAAGUGCAUUUGUGGGCGUUGAAGUGAACUUUGAUUGAAGCUGUGUAUCCGUCGUGUGAGCUUGAUAUAUGUUUCUGUCUUCAGCUUGGCACUAAUUUUGCAAUAUGCAUGCUUUUGCCUGAUUAAUUGGUUUUCAAAACGACUUUAAUUCUAAAUUUCUAUUGGUCAUGGCAUUGUGUUGCUUCUCUGGAUGGCUAGUGUUGUUAGUUGGCUAUUAUAAGUAUUUGACAUAUGUCUCAGAAGCUUCUACUUGUGCUCUCUCACAUAGUUCUCGAAAUUGAUUCUUUGCAUUUUAAUCUUGAUGGAGUGCUUUGUCAACAAGGGGGAGAGUGAGUAGCACAAAUUCAUUUUUGCAAGAGGAGUUUGAUUUCGUUUUUUGCUGAGACUUGACGUGCUUGUUUUGAGGGGGAGCUUUGCUGAAAGUGUUGAGUUUUGCUGCUGAGAUUGCUUUUUGAAGAUUGAUAUAGUUUUUGAUUCACUUUGGGAGAGUGAUUUUUUUAUCUUGAUUGUGUUGAGCCUAGUUUUUUCUCUAGCCCAUGUCUUUGGGGAUCAAGAUUGUUUCUUUUUCCUUCUUUCUAUCUUCUUUUUUAGCUCGAAUAAAUUUGUGCGGUGUGGUGUUGUCAAUGCACUCAUCAAGGGGGAGAUUGAGAUGCCGGUGGGCUAGUACCUUGGUGAUGAGCGAUUGACAACACGGUGUGCGUGUGACGUGUCUCUUGGCAGGUGUGGUUGCAGGUGACAGGUGGAGACGAGGUGCAUGCGGCGACGAGUGAAGAACGGGGAUAGGAUGCCAUGCCGACGAACCGUGGGACGGUGAAGGGUGGAUCAAGGCUUGCGUUCGAGGGACAGGCGAUCGUGCGGUGUACGUCUACUGUACCUGGCUACACGGCGAGAGGACGUCAAGGGAGGUUUUCGGAUUACACCACAAAAUCCGGGGUUCGCUGGUUGAGCCAUAAAGCCAUGCAUCGUACCGGGACGCUCGUGCGGCGAGCGUUGGCCGAAGAUGGAAAUUCCGGCGAUCGCGAUACGAUUUCGGAUGGUCGUGCGGCGACAUCGCGAGGAUCACAUCACGGAGAUGGAGGAAUCGCGGACAUCGCGGAAUUUGUCAUGGAGGACGUAACUAGAAUUUACACACCUACGUUAAAUUUAUUUAGCGUAGGGGGUUAUGUGUAAAUAGGCCGUGCCACCCUAAGGAUAUAAAUACGUAGCACCUAGGGUUGAGAGAGUAGGAGCCCUUUUGCUACAGGCGGCGCUACAGUACUCGGCGCUACAGUAACUCGGCGCUACAGUAACUCGGCGCUACAGUAACUCGCGGUUACUGUUCACGCGUGGUACUGUUCAUCGUCGCAGGUACUGUUCAUCUCUCUCUAGUCUAGCCUAGGGUUUCAAUCUAAGUGAGGGAUUUUUAUUGAUCUCUCCAAUUAAGAGAGGGAGGAUGUUUGGGCGGAGGCUAGAUGUACUUUUGUAAGCACAUUACUUGUCUCAAUUUUUCAUAUUAGUGAAUUAAUCUAUGUGCUUGUGCGUCAUGUUGUGCUGAGGUUAAGAUUGAUUUGAUCCAUCUAAAAUCAUGCUAGGGCAUCUUAUUAGAGCUUAAUCUAUUCUCGUCAUUGUCUGAUACAGUCUGCUUGUUCCUUUAAUAUCUCAAGAUCCGAAAGUCCGAUUGACAUGAUUCCAGUUGGGUUAGUUGCAUAAUUUUGUAUAGAUUUUUCUGUCAAAUUUUUAGGUUGAUCGGUCUUACGGAUUUUCGUCCAUAUCCUUUUUAUUAAGGAAACAGUAUUCUGUCCAGAUUUGAAAAACGUGAUUUAAUUAGGUUUUGAGAGGAAGGGGAAGUGUUAAACUUUAUUUUUUGAACUUGCGCCCAUUCACCCCCCCUCUGGUCGCCGUUUCGGUCCUUCACAUACACAUAUGAUCCAGGAUAUAGUAGUCAACCCAUCAAUUGCGCAGAUCUCCUUACCUCAGCAUUGAGCUAAAACCUGUACAGAUGAAAUUGAAGCCUGCACAAAAAUUGAAAGAAGAAACACAAUGAAUUCGGUUAGGUUGUUUUUCCUGUGCAAAAAUAGAAAUUUUGUUGCUCGAUAAAAGAUUGCAAUUUCCAAAGAGUGGAAUGCUUUC